GGGGAAGGUUGGGGCAUGUUGGUUGGAGGCCCCAUAAGGGUUUGGGUGUUGAAGGGGCUAAGACUGGAGCAGGGAGGAGUCUGGGCUCACAUGCUGGAUAAAUGCUUCUGUUUGCAUUUUGGCCCAGAGAACCCUGAAGAGCAGGUAAGUUCUACUCAGGGUUGGCAGCUGGCUGGAAGACACUCCCCUUCCCGCCCCACCACGCACACACGUACGUUUCUGCUGACAAGUGUUCGAGAAAAACACGUCAUCAUCACAGAGUCCAUAGAUUACAGAUUUAGAGUUGGACGAAGAAGUCAUCCUGAUGGUGUCAAACUCAAACAAAAACAGAUCUCUGCCGGCUACACAGUGACUUAGAAAAUUGCAAGCUAACAUUAUCUACACUGUAUUUUUGUUUAUUUUGCCAAUCAUUUCCCCAUCGCAUUUUCUGAUUGCACUCUGGAGUUUUAUGUGGGCUGCCUGCUGGCCACCAGACACUUAUGCUGGUCCAACCCCUUUAUUUUACAGAAGAAGCAUGGAUGGAAAACUUCAAGUGACUUGUCCAAGGUCAUACACAGGGAUGAAGUGGCAGAACCAGAAUUGAAUCCAGGCCCUCUAAUUCAGAAUCCUGGGAAGGUAGAGAUUUUUGACAAGUUUUUGUACUUAGGUGUUAAGAUCUGGAGAUCACAGGAAGACUUCCAUGAACUGACGCUGAGUGAAGUGGGCGGAACCAGGAAAACAUUGUAUACAGUAACAGCAACAUUGUAUGAUGACUGACUUUGAUAGACUUAGCUCUUCUCAGCAAUACAAUGACUUAAGACAGUUCCAAAAGACUCAUGAUGGUAAAUGCUAUCCACCUCCAGAGAAAGAUAUAUGGAGUCUGAAUGCAGAUCAAAGCAUACUAUUUUUUUUCUCUCUCUCUUUCUCUUCUUUUUUUUUGCUAUGUUUUUUUCUUUCUCAUGGUUUUUCCCUUUUGUUCUGAUUCUUCUCUCACAACACGACUAAUGUCGAAAUAUGUUUAAUAUGAUUGUGCAUAUAUAACCUAUAUCAAAUUGCAUGCUGUCUUGGGGAGAGGGG
This 1056-nucleotide long non-coding RNA is filed under the name Phascolarctos cinereus (koala). Its description in RNAcentral is "lncRNA (ENSPCIG00000020442.2)". Lineage: Eukaryota; Metazoa; Chordata; Mammalia; Diprotodontia; Phascolarctidae. The record is from RNAcentral.